GGCUUACCUCCUCAGUUAUGCGUCAUGACUUGUAUCGUCUUGAGCGUAUUGUGGGUUUCCUGUGUUGCAUACCUUUCUAAUGGUAUCGUGUUGAUUGAUCGAAGUCCCUUUUCAUCUUGUGUUGCUUUUUGCGACGCAUGAUGAACCUCGAGGCGGUCUCUAUGUUCCACCACGUUGAUGCUAGCGUUUUGAUGUUGUGGCCCAUUGAGUGUUGCUUGGUUUCGUGGAUACAGAACAUGAUUUGGGCAUAGGGUUACUUGUGACUCUUGUUUUGUCCUUUAUCAGUGUUCUUUAUAACGACGGUUCAUGCGCGCCUAGGCUCGUACCUGCGCGAUGUUCUUUGUCGAAGAGGAAUGC
This 357-nucleotide unclassified non-coding RNA is filed under the name Senecio jacksonii. RNAcentral's name for it is "partial external transcribed spacer". Lineage: Eukaryota; Viridiplantae; Streptophyta; Magnoliopsida; Asterales; Asteraceae. The record is from RNAcentral.